AGAUGUGAGGGGGAUCUGGCUGUGACAUCUGUCACCCCAUUGAUCGCCAGGGUUGAUUCGGCUGAUCUGGCUGGCUAGGCGGGGGUCCCCUUCCUCCCUCACCACUCCAUGUGCGUCCCUCCUGAAGCUGCGGGCUUGGUCGAAGAGGACGACCACCCCCAAUAGAGGAGGACUGUUCCUCUGUCAAGGGUAUACGAGUAGCUGCGCUCCCUUGCUAGAACCUCCAAACAAGCUCUCAAGAAUAUAUUCAUGAACUUAAUGUCAUUCCAUAUUACUUCAAAAAUUUGUUCAUUUUU
This is a non-coding RNA of Heterocephalus glaber (naked mole-rat), 296 nucleotides long. NCBI's taxonomy places the organism in Eukaryota, Metazoa, Chordata, Mammalia, Rodentia, Bathyergidae. The record is from Rfam.